GGAUGAAGAACGUAGCGAAAUGCGAUAAGUAGUGUGAAUUGCAGAAUUCAGUGAAUCAUCGAAUCUUUGAACGCACAUUGCGCCCCAUGGUAUUCCGUGGGGCAUGCCUGUUCGAGCGUCAUUUACCCCCUCAAGCUCCGCUUGGUGUUGGGCGUCUGUCCCGCUUCGCGCGCGGACUCGCCCCAAAGGUAUUGGCAGCGGUCGUGCCAGCUUCUCGCGCAGCACAUUGCGCUUCUCGAGGCACCGGUGGGCCCGCGUCCAUCAAGCUCACCCCCCCAGUUUGACCUCGGAUCAGGUAGGGAUACCCGCUGAACUUAAGCAUAUCAUAGCGGAGGA
Molecule: unclassified non-coding RNA, 336 nt
Filed under: soil metagenome
Description: partial contains 5.8S ribosomal RNA, internal transcribed spacer 2, and large subunit ribosomal RNA
Rfam family: 5.8S ribosomal RNA (bases 2-121)
Source: RNAcentral